Long non-coding RNA from Anneissia japonica, 1409 nucleotides. RefSeq lists it as uncharacterized. NCBI's taxonomy places the organism in Eukaryota, Metazoa, Echinodermata, Crinoidea, Comatulida, Comatulidae. The transcript is spliced from 4 exons. The record is from RefSeq and is a predicted model, not a curated record.
CUAUGAAGCCUUUCAGGCGUAAUGAACUGUAACCAACGUCUGUUGACAACAGAGAGUGCCACCUGGCGUCGUGACGACACGACUGUGGUACUCUAUGAACGUAAUGUCGUCAUUUGUGACAGGAUUUAUGAAGAAAGAGCGAAGAGGUGGAUCCGUGUGAGCAGCGGAGGAGGUUGUUAACAGAGAAAGACACAGGGGGGUUUAUUGCUACAAUGUAGGUGGACCUUCGGUUCUUUUCGGUGGCUACAAACAGUCUGGGUUUGGCAGAGACCUGUAGUCAUUAAAGUGCCGGAGAAGAAUUCAUAAACCGUAUUAUUGCAAUAAUUCAUAAAAGUCUUUUUCUGACAUCAUUGCAGUAGUUCUAAAUAAUAAUUUUAAUAAUGAAAAUAAUUUUAAGUUUUUGUUCUUGAUUUCGAAAAGGCUAGUAAUUUUCUUAUUAAUUAAAUUUUAAAGAUGUGUUUACAUUCAAGUUGCUUCUUCACCAAUAAUUUUCAGAGUAAAAAACUAUAUACAUUUUAAACUUUUUCCUGUUUUAGGAAAACCAGAAAACAGGGCUUUAAUUUAGAUUCAAGAUUCAAGAUUCAAGAUAUUGUAUUUGUCUUCAUAAUACAUAAAAAGAAAUUUUGGCUGUACAGCAUUUCAAAAAUUACAAUAAUUAAUAAGAAACGUAUAUGAACACACAGUAACAAUAAAAAAAAAUACAACAAGGCAAGUUACCAAAAAACUAGUCUAAAACAAUAAAUUUUUAAAAAGUUAGAAAGUUAAAAAAUUUUAAAAUAGAUUAAAAAGUAAAACUUCGAUUUAUCUUUUAACACCGACAUUAAAAAUAUGGAUGGAAUUUGGCACAAAUGAGUUUCUGUAGCGACAACGCAGUGUACGAGGAGGGCAAAGUCUUAUACCUGAUCUAUUAAAACUAUAGCAACUGUGAAGGGGUUGUGUAGGGUCAUUCAUAAUUUUGUUUAUCUUAAGAGCAACACGUUUUUCAUAUAUUUUAGACAAUGGUGUAAUGUUGCAUUUAAUAAUACGCUGUGCUAUUUUUCUUGCUCUUUCAAUCUUUUUCUUUUUAUCAAUGGUUAGAUUACCGAAGAAACAUAACAUGUUAAAACACAGAACACUUUGAAUCAUAGCCUGAUAAAAAAAAGCACCAUUAUUUUGUUGUCUACUUUAAAUUCUUUUAGUUUUCUUAAAAAGUAUAGCCUCUUGGAUGCUUUGCUAGCUAGAAUUUUUGAAUUUGUAUUCCACUUUAGCUGAUCGUUAACAAUAGUUCCUAAAUAUUUGUUCUCAGAUACUUUUUCUACAAUUUCAUCUUUAACUAUUACAGGUUCAUGAUGAAUAACAGAUUUGCGAAAGUCAAAAAUUAUUUCCUUUGUCUUGCUUGCAUUUAAAAAUAAAUUUUGCUUGUCACACCA